UGCUUGCACCUUUCAAGUGAGUGGCGAACGGGUGAGUAACACGUGGACAACCUGCCUCAAGGCUGGGGAUAACAUUUGGAAACAGAUGCUAAUACCGAAUAAAACUUAGUGUCGCAUGACACAAAGUUAAAAGGCGCUUCGGCGUCACCUAGAGAUGGAUCCGCGGUGCAUUAGUUAGUUGGUGGGGUAAAGGCCUACCAAGACAAUGAUGCAUAGCCGAGUUGAGAGACUGAUCGGCCACAUUGGGACUGAGACACGGCCCAAACUCCUACGGGAGGCUGCAGUAGGGAAUCUUCCACAAUGGGCGAAAGCCUGAUGGAGCAACGCCGCGUGUGUGAUGAAGGCUUUCGGGUCGUAAAGCACUGUUGUAUGGGAAGAACAGCUAGAAUAGGAAAUGAUUUUAGUUUGACGGUACCAUACCAGAAAGGGACGGCUAAAUACGUGCCAGCAGCCGCGGUAAUACGUAUGUCCCGAGCGUUAUCCGGAUUUAUUGGGCGUAAAGCGAGCGCAGACGGUUUAUUAAGUCUGAUGUGAAAGCCCGGAGCUCAACUCCGGAAUGGCAUUGGAAACUGGUUAACUUGAGUGCAGUAGAGGUAAGUGGAACUCCAUGUGUAGCGGUGGAAUGCGUAGAUAUAUGGAAGAACACCAGUGGCGAAGGCGGCUUACUGGACUGCAACUGACGUUGAGGCUCGAAAGUGUGGGUAGC
Molecule: ribosomal RNA, 706 nt
Filed under: Leuconostoc mesenteroides
Lineage: Bacteria; Bacillati; Bacillota; Bacilli; Lactobacillales; Lactobacillaceae
Description: bacterial SSU rRNA
Rfam family: Bacterial small subunit ribosomal RNA
Source: RNAcentral